Cynoglossus semilaevis (tongue sole) is the source of this 851-nucleotide long non-coding RNA. RefSeq lists it as uncharacterized. The record is from RefSeq and is a predicted model, not a curated record. The transcript has 3 exons. NCBI's taxonomy places the organism in Eukaryota, Metazoa, Chordata, Actinopteri, Pleuronectiformes, Cynoglossidae.
AUUAGCGACCGACCGCUAACACACACAUUUAUACACACACAGUAGACGUACUCCUGACUCCGUACUGCCACGGAUCACUGUGUGUUUACAGUGGAGGGAUUCUUAGCUAAGCCCGAUAAUUUAACUGUUGUUGAGUUUAAGCAAAGGUGCUCCACACUUUCUAUUCCGCAGCAUCCACACUCAAUAUAUGCUAAGCCUCAUUCUCCUGGUGCGCAUAAUUCUGGCCGGCUCUUACCGAGCCCCGCAGACGCGAACACACAGCCCCGUCCUCCUUACCGCCUCUGCCAAUAGCUGCCAAGGAAAAUCAAUAUGUCAAUGCACAUUGCAAAUGUUGGGUCUUGACUUUGCAAAGUAAUGUCUGCUUGUCUCUGCAAUUUUUGCUUUGUGCACAGGGAGAAGAAGAAAAAAAAAAAAAGAUCUCCUCUCCCACGGAUAUCGGGUGAUAAAAACGUAAGCAGCGCUGGUGUUUGUUGUGUUCCUGGUAAAAAGUAAUGACAGAGAUGUUUUUCUACAACAUGUUUUUUCUUUUUUUUUUUUUUCCUCUGAAGUCUGACACCCAGAGUGAUCGGGAAGAGACAGAGACAUCGUGUCUGUAACUCUGUUCACAACCAAAAGUCUGGUUUCCAGCUACCUUUGGAAACAACCGUUCACAGAUUCAAACCCUCAACUCUUUUAUCCAGACACAGGAAGUGCAGCAUCAUGGGUCAGGGGGACGGAAAACAUUCCAGUAAAAACACGACUGCACCAACGCUCGGGACGUGGACGUGGAAUCAACUUAAAAGGCCUGAGCGAACCGUUUGACACUGACCAGAGACGGUGACACGGCCGGGGGGGUCAACAUUCAUCAAGGA